This 644-nucleotide ribosomal RNA is filed under the name uncultured bacterium. RNAcentral describes it as "bacterial SSU rRNA". It matches the Rfam family "Bacterial small subunit ribosomal RNA", at positions 8 to 645 of the family's 1533-position model. The record is from RNAcentral.
AGAGUUUGAUCCUGGCUCAGAUUGAACGCUGGCGGCGUGCCUAACACAUGCAAGUCGAGCGGUAACAGGUGUAGCAAUACAUGCUGACGAGCGGCGAACGGGUGAGUAAUGUUUCGGAAUCUGCCCAAUGGUGGGGAAUAACCAGCCGAAAGGUUGGCUAAUACCGCAUAAGUCCUACGGGAGAAAGCGGGGGAUCGUAAGACCUCGCGCCGAUGGAUGAGCCGAAACCGGAUUAGCUAGUUGGUAGGGUAACGGCCUACCAAGGCGACGAUCCGUAGCUGGUCUGAGAGGACGACCAGCCACACUGGGACUGAGACACGGCCCAGACUCCUACGGGAGGCAGCAGUGGGGAAUAUUGGACAAUGGGGGAAACCCUGAUCCAGCGACGCCGCGUGUGUGAAGAAGGCCUGCGGGUUGUAAAGCACUUUUAGUGGGGAUGAAAAGCUCAGGGCUAAUACCGCUGAGUCUUGACCUAACCCAAAGAAAAAGCACCGGCUAACUCUGUGCCAGCAGCCGCGGUAAUACAGAGGGUGCAAGCGUUAAUCGGAAUUACUGGGCGUAAAGCGUGCGUAGACGGUUAUGUAAGUCGGGUGUGAAAGCCCCGGGCUCAACCUGGGAAUUGCAUUCGAGACUGCAUAGCUAGG